GAUGAACGCUGGCGGCGUGCCUAAUACAUGCAAGUCGAGCGAACGGACGAGAAGCUUGCUUUUCUGAUAUUAGCGGCGGACGGGUGAGUAACACGUGGAUAACCUACCUAUAAGACUGGGAUAACUUCGGGAAACCGGAGCUAAUACCGGAUAAUAUUUUGAACCGCAUGGUUCAAAAGUGAAAGACGGUCUUGCUGUCACUUAUAGAUGGAUCCGCGCUGCAUUAGCUAGUUGGUAAGGUAACGGCUUACCAAGGCAACGAUGCAUAGCCGACCUGAGAGGGUGAUCGGCCACCCUGGAACUGAGACACGGUCCAGACUCCUACGGGAGGCAGCAGUAGGGAAUCUUCCGCAAUGGGCGAAAGCCUGACGGAGCAACGCCGCGUGAGUGAUGAAGGUCUUCGGAUCGUAAAACUCUGUUAUUAGGGAAGAACAUAUGUGUAAGUAACUGUGCACAUCUUGACGGUACCUAAUCAGAAAGCCACGGCUAACUACGUG
RNAcentral lists this ribosomal RNA (497 nucleotides) under uncultured bacterium. RNAcentral's name for it is "partial 16S ribosomal RNA". It matches the Rfam family "Bacterial small subunit ribosomal RNA", at positions 28 to 507 of the family's 1533-position model. The record is from RNAcentral.